Molecule: long non-coding RNA, 5043 nt
Organism: Ictalurus punctatus (channel catfish)
Lineage: Eukaryota; Metazoa; Chordata; Actinopteri; Siluriformes; Ictaluridae
Source: Ensembl
GCAAGGUGUGUGUAAACUUAUGACCUCAACUGUGUAUCAACACUACUCCCCUAGUUGGUAGUUUAUAACACAGUGCUGUUGAAUUCUCUAAUCUGAUUGGUCAGGUGUUGAUUAAUUUUCUAUAACAGCAGCUCUGACAACAGUGCAAGGAAAACCACAGGACUAUAUUGAUGUGCUCAUUCUAAUAUGUUACCAUUUCUAUAGUAAGAGCUAAUUCACAGGGUCUUGUAUGACAAAUAUGCUACAUAACCUAAACCUGAUAAUACAUAUAAUAAGAAAGGAUAAAUAUAAUACAAUCAAUCUUAGCAAGAGAAAAAUCAGUCAAGUGUCUUAUUAUGUAUAUAUUUUCAAUUCAAAAAUCAAUUUCUUUUCCAAAUCCAAGUCCAAUGUUUGCCAUUUGUUUACAGGAUCUGAUAUCUGAUUUGUUUUUCUCUGAUAUCUGAUCCACCGUUUUUUGCUGCUAUCGGCCCAAUACUUGGUAUCAGAUCUGUGGAUCUGAAGCACACAGGACUAUGAGGACAUCCCCCUCUUCUCACUUACAUGUCUCACACACUACUCCAUAGUGUUCCCCAGCUUAGAGCCUAAAAUACACAAGCUCUUAUUACUGUACAACACGAGUGCAACAGAAUAAGAGCAGUUACAGCUGACGUUUCAAGCUUCCCCAGCUCCAUGUGAUAUAUAAUGUAUAGAAGAGUCUAGACUAUCUGGGGCCGCCAUCACAGUAUGAUAUACACCCUACCGGUUGAGAGAGUUUCCAGUUGCUUCAGAGCUGUUUAUAGACAGCCCUUUUACUGCCUAGCUACUACUUAUUAUUAAAGGAACACUUCAGCAUUUUUAAUUUGAUCUCUAGGACUGUGUCUGUAGUUUUACUGAUUAUUACACAGAUGAAUUUCCUUGUACUGAGAAGAAAAACUGAAAGAAAAAAAAUGGACUCGACAUCAUUAUGAAUUUUAUUCAACUUUCCAGUUUGAGAAAAAUGAAGAACAUCCUGUUUACUCUGAUCUAUGCAGACUAUGCUGAUAAAUUAUAAUCCGUAUGUCCUUCCUUCUAGAAAAUUCCUGAAGAAUUCAUGAAAUUGUUCUACAACAAUGUUUUUAUUAACAAUUGUUGACCAGGUUCAGCAACUGCCAUUCAACUUUCAUUGUAGCUUAAUUAAGUCAAGAUUAAAAUAAAUAAUUUUAUAUUAUUUUCUGGGAAAAAUUGGUGAAAUGCUCAUCUGUGAUAGUCACAUAUUUCUACAGAGGGAGUAGAAAAUCAUUAUAGUAUUCCUUUAAAUUUUGGUGUUAACUAUAUAAUAUGGCAUUUUGUGAGUUUGUGCAGUCAUGCACCCCGAAUGUUGUUGUACAAUACUUGUAUCAGCACUGUCUUUGCUAAAAACAUGCGAAUAACAUCUGAUAUCUUUGUCGCUUUUAGUUUCAUUCUUGUGCCAGAAAGUGUUCCAGGAGGUAAACCAUUUUUCAAAUAAGUGGAAUAUCUUUUGUGAUAGGCUUUGGGGUGUGGAAAGUACCCCCAUCUGUGUAUCUGUGUGUCUUUGUGGCAGUAUUCUUCACAGUGGCCUCCUAAACAGAUGGAUUGGAAGCUCCCGGAAAGCGUGUUAUAUUUACGCCUGGUCUGAAAUUAUUCCUCUGUGCCUGUCCAUAAAGUCUUACACCUCACCAAAACAUUGCUGUCUACACAAACUGGCCUUGUUUCAUCACUGGUCGUCAUGGGAACACUGUGUGUGCUUAACCCAAAGGAUGAGAAUUAUAGAGAGGGCAGCCAAGAGUGCACUCUGUGGUGGUAGAUCUGUCUCUGCCAUAAAUGGAUUAUUUGUUAAGUAACACACAAGCAUUUCCGGUACAGAAAAGAAAAUCAAUCAUAAAAUAGUGGAAAUAAUCAUGCUGGAUAUUCUUUCCUAUAGUACAACGUAUAAGUGUGACAAAUAGAGGGGGUGUUUGGUUAAAGAUGACAGCUGCCUUGUUCGUUGUUUUAAGGGUCAGUCAUGAACACGUCAAAAAGUUGUCAGUCAAAAUGGCACAGUGGUGUCACACAGCGUUAAUCAAACACUCUAAAAUGUUCAGCUCUUUUGUGAAGCUUUGGCUUACACUGGAGCUAAAAUCAAUACUCGAUGAAGACAGAUAAAAUGACUGAGUCUUUGGUAGUCGCUCACUGGAUGACUCACUUACUAGCAAUUGAAUAGCCCACACCAACAUACAGUCAAGAUUUUAUUCCCAAGUUUAAAGUAUUUUCAUGAAUCAAGUGAAGUGGGAAAUUGUGAAAUUGUGCAAGGCCACUGUGAUUAUUGUUUAUAGAGAGUUAGGUGUUUCAUGGGUGAUGGUUUAAAAAAUCUUAUUGUCAGUGUUUUUAAGAAAUGUAUUGGUCUUAGGGCCAGCAAUCUUUUUUUUUUUGGCAGAGAGCAGAGAUUGCUGAAAGCUGUCGUAUAAAACUUGUUUUUGGUACGUUAAAAAAGAAAUCAUUGUUCCAAAUUGUCUCCUUACCUUACCCUGAUUCACACCGGUAAGCUUCUAAUAAUGAUUUAUAAUUUGAACUGUCGAGUCAGAUUUUUCAGGAACUGUCAGGCUGACGUCAUUUGCAUGGUCUUUGAUGCCACCAUGCCUUUGUGUGGUUGCGUAAUGUCUGUAAACAGAAACAAGAAGAGCUGGAUACUAUAUUGUGUGUGUGAGUGUGGAUGGUGGUGUUCGUAGCUUGUCCUUACUGGAGUUGCUUAGAAUUUAAACUUGUCAUCUAGAUGGCUGCUUUAAUCUGGAUAGUUCUAAACGUAGUCAUCGUUGACAUCUGGGGAAUCAGCUGUUGUCAAAACCAGGAAGCCUCGAACUGUGAAGAACCUGCAGUCAAAAAGGGAAAGUGACCGAGCCCGUGCUAAAACGAGAAAAAAUAAUGGCAUGAGUUUUGAGAGGUGGCGACAACUCAGAGAUCUGAAGGGAUUGAAGAUUGAGGCAGAGAUUUUUUUUUCUGACGAACAGGUAAGACAUUUCAGUGGCUCAGUAGGUAGCUAGCUAACAUUAUCACACUUGUUUGCUUAAUUCAGCUAGGUAUCAAAUUUCCUAUAUUUCUUUUUCUCUUUUUUUUUUGUUGCUAUGGUCGGUGUGGUAAUUUGCCACCUCCGUUGUCAUGUAUCGGAGUUAAUAUUCAACCCAUACGUACCUCAAAGCAUCAGAUUCAUCUGCAUAGAGGACACAACCCACAUAAAAAAAAAAUGCAAGUAACUUGCAGUUUUAUGUUUCAAACAGAGAAGGCGAUAGAGAGGCACAAGUUCAGUACUGCAGCUUUAAUAACUGAAUCUUAACUAUUUUAUUCAGCAGACACUCUUUAUCCAGAGCGACUAACAGAAGUGCAUUAUAGUCUCCAUCAAAAACAUAUUCUCAAGCUUGUACAAACAGAUCAGGCAUCUAAGAAUCAAGUUAAAACUCUCUUAGCAAGAACUUCUUAGCAGUUCAUCAGUUUCUUUCCAGACACUAUCCAGUUACUCGACCAUCCCAGUCCAUAGCAACACCUACUGAAACUUUUGCAUUCCAGUUUCACACUGACACCAUGUCUUAUCUCUCUUGUCUCAUGUCCUGUCUCUGUGUAAUCAUUUGUGUCUUCUGUACUGUCUGAUCCUAAUUCACUGAAUUCCUGUGAACACAACUCACAGUAAAAAAGGAUUUCAAGCUCCAGGGUCCUUGCUUGGAUCAUAAGCCAGUGGGUCCAGGAGGUGGAUUGACUAUGUUGAUUUAAUCAUAGGCAUAGCAACACGACACUGGCCGAAGUCACUGCAGCCAUAAUGGGAUUUUCCAUCAGAACACAGAGCGAGAAGCUGGCUACGAGCACCACCACAAUCAUGGCUUAGAUCUCUUUAUCGUCAGAAGAACUUCUAUUAAAAUGAAUAGAGGCUGGACUUGAAUGAUCAGAUGAAGAGAAGAGGAAAUUCAAAGAUUAUGAAGUUGAUGGAGAAACUGUCAACGCUGGUCUCAUGGAUCACAUGAUAGCACAGCUUUUUGAGAAGUCUGUUAAGAAGAUGUUUUCAACGUAGAUACGUUGUGGACACUGUGUGGAAAACUGUUGCUCCCACAAUCGUUUGAUUCUCAUGUUCAUGCAUUUCAUAUUUCAUAUGACAAGGAUUGGUUUUGUAUGAUGCCAGGAGAGGAACUGGACUGCCAGGAACUUGAGCUAUAUAAGGUUGAUGACGUUUUGUAUGUAGGAACCAGAUAUGCAUAGGCACUCACCUACAGAACAUUAGGUUUGUGCACAUCCCAUUACAAUGUUUUUGAUGCUUUUGCAUCAUUUCAUUUCUGCUUUAAAAAUGUUAAUGUUAAGUAAAUGCAAGGGUAUUGUGUGAAAAGUGGGGAAAAAAUGAAUUUAAAAGUGUAAAUUGUAUUGUGAACAGUUUGUUUGUGAAAAGUUGUAGAUGGGAAAAUGUAUUUUACAUAGUGUAACAUUUUAGUGUAAUUGUAUUCUGUUAAAAUAUAUAUUUUUUAUAUCUUUAUUGUAAACUUUAAAGAUAUAUUUACACAAAAAGAAAUAUUUUACUGUAAGCUGCAACAAAGUGUUUGUUCAAGUUAUUGUUACAGUAACAGUUACUGAUAUUAAAUUGAUGCCUUUUGGGUUCAAUUGUUGAAUGUGCAUAUUAUUCAAUAGGAAAAUGGCCUUUAGUAGUCCUUGAAGGAACACAUCUGACACAUUUAAGGUACAAAGGGGCUUAUCACUGGGGUGGUAGCUUCAAGGAUAAGAUUUGUACCUUUGAUGAAGGUACAGUAUUUGUACCAGCAAGUUUAAAAAAACAAAGGUACAUUUUGGUUGCCCAUGGUACAAAUCAUGUCUGUAAAGGUACAAACUGGAAUGGUACAAAUUUGUUUCUUUAUAUUAAGGUAAAAUUCCAUUAAAAGUUACCGCCCCGGUGAUAAUGGUUUGUACCUGCUUUAGUACAAAAUUGAACUUUUUUUUUCUUUUCUUUUUUUAUGAGAGUGUAAAACACUGAAUGCAUACAAUCCACAGUUCAACUUAAAACUAACUAUAACACAACCCUUUAUAAACUGGAACAAAUUCUAAAAGUGCCAUGUUUCA